UCUAAUGUAAAAAAUAUUGAAAUGGACAAGGGAAAAAUGUACCCAUGGUCUUAAAUAUGAGAGUGAUUAUAAGAAUGAAGCAGAAAAUAUGGCUUCCAGAGAUAUUUAUUCAUGUCAUGAAUAAAAUAUGUAAUAUAGAAUAAGCCUCUCCUCUGUCAUGUCAUCAUGUCCAAUUUUGUGAGCUCUUUGACUCAGAAACUCUCUGAAGCUUUAAGUGGCCUCCUCGGCUGAGCACACCUGGGUCAGUAAUGAACCAUUUGCAAAGGGCUCUGUGUGUUGUGGUUGGAGAUGCUGAGGAGGAGGCCAAUGCAGUUAUAUUAGCUGCCAUAAAACAAG
Homo sapiens (human) is the source of this 336-nucleotide long non-coding RNA. RefSeq lists it as uncharacterized. The transcript is spliced from 3 exons. The record is from RefSeq and is a predicted model, not a curated record. NCBI's taxonomy places the organism in Eukaryota, Metazoa, Chordata, Mammalia, Primates, Hominidae.